GGGGGUGACUGGCUUCGACGGGGAUCAGGAGGUCAACGGAGCGUGUCGAGCUCUCGGAGUCUCGUUAAACCUUCGGGAAACCAUUAAGUGCCAACGAACCAUUGGCUCUCGCGGCUUAAUUGACCGCGACGUCUCUCUCAUCUUUGCCUGCGGGCUGGGAAGAGACGUCACUUUGCAGGCUGGUCCAAGGCCGGUGCUCAGCGGCGGCGGAUAAGAACUUUCUGGGCUAGCAGACGUUCUAAGCCGGUUGGUGGGCGUGGGCGAAUGCGAAUACCAAAUCAUCGACUACACACGUAGGGCCGUUGCGCUAAAUGUCUUCGGACGCGGGUUCGAUUCCCGCCACCUCCACCA
This 351-nucleotide transfer-messenger RNA is filed under the name Nitrospira sp. It matches the Rfam family "transfer-messenger RNA". Rfam says of the family: Bacterial tmRNA, also known as 10Sa RNA or SsrA, is named for its dual tRNA and mRNA-like properties. Its role is to liberate the mRNA from a stalled ribosome. Lineage: Bacteria; Pseudomonadati; Nitrospirota; Nitrospiria; Nitrospirales; Nitrospiraceae. The record is from RNAcentral. RNAcentral also lists the same sequence under 2 other names.